CUGAUUUUUGCACCCUUAGGGCUUUAACUUUUCAAGCUGUCUAUAACUCAGGGCUAAAACUGUUUUCAUGCUGAAGCUGAGAUUCUGACAUAGCUAUGUGAGUCAGCACCUGAGGAGGAAGAGAAAUGCCAAAGUUUGCAAGUCUUUCUAUGAGGAACUGAGCUGGUAGCAUUCUAUACAGUGUAGAUCAUUUAUGCCAGCCCAUUUAGCCUGAGGGUUGAACAUAUUAUUUCAAAAAGGACACAGGGCUCACAAUCAAUACCUCGGGGCCAGCUGGCUGCCCUACUCUGCUCUUUGGGCUUGAUCUUCUUCCCAUUCAAGCUGCUGAGAAAAAUUCCCUGUGACUCGAAUGCUCUGUUUCUGCUCUCAAAAUAUUCAGAAUAGAAAAGAGGGGGAGGGAGCUGGGAUUGAGCUGUUGAAGUGAAGGAGGAGUCUACAGAGAGGUAAUUUCCAUUUUUAUUUACACUUUUAUCCUGUACGAAAAAUAUCAGGAUUGUGCAGUAAAGAAACAUUUGUGUCACAGAUUUCUUUUUAUGAUGUGGAUUUCUGCCUAAGAUAAUUCUUACUGCCUGUAUUCCUUUUGCAGCAUGACUGCUCUAAAAUUUAACUUUGAAAGCAUGGUUGGCAUUAAAAUACAUA
RNAcentral lists this long non-coding RNA (639 nucleotides) under Coturnix japonica (Japanese quail). RNAcentral's name for it is "lncRNA (ENSCJPG00005000774.1)". The record is from RNAcentral. Lineage: Eukaryota; Metazoa; Chordata; Aves; Galliformes; Phasianidae.